RNAcentral lists this ribosomal RNA (468 nucleotides) under uncultured bacterium. Its description in RNAcentral is "partial 16S ribosomal RNA". It matches the Rfam family "Bacterial small subunit ribosomal RNA", at positions 28 to 507 of the family's 1533-position model. The record is from RNAcentral.
GACGAACGCUGGCGGCGUGCUUAACACAUGCAAGUCGAACGGAAAGGCCCUGCUUUUGUGGGGUGCUCGAGUGGCGAACGGGUGAGUAACACGUGAGUAACCUGCCCUUGACUUUGGGAUAACUUCAGGAAACUGGGGCUAAUACCGGAUAGGAGCUCCUGCUGCAUGGUGGGGGUUGGAAAGUUUCGGCGGUUGGGGAUGGACUCGCGGCUUAUCAGCUUGUUGGUGGGGUAGUGGCUUACCAAGGCUUUGACGGGUAGCCGGCCUGAGAGGGUGACCGGCCACAGUGGGACUGAGAUACGGCCCAGACUCCUACGGGAGGCAGCAGUGGGGAAUAUUGCACAAUGGGCGGAAGCCUGAUGCAGCAACGCCGCGUGCGGGAUGACGGCCUUCGGGUUGUAAACCGCUUUCGCCUGUGGCGAAGCGUGAGUGACGGUAAUGGGUAAAGAAGCACCGGCUAACUACGUG